RNAcentral lists this small RNA (69 nucleotides) under Phascolarctos cinereus (koala). RNAcentral describes it as "7SK RNA (ENSPCIG00000019872.2)". It matches the Rfam family "7SK RNA", at positions 20 to 87 of the family's 331-position model. From Rfam's summary of the family: 7SK was discovered as an abundant small nuclear RNA in the mid-70s but a possible function has only recently been suggested. Lineage: Eukaryota; Metazoa; Chordata; Mammalia; Diprotodontia; Phascolarctidae. The record is from Rfam by way of RNAcentral.
CUGCAACAUCGGUCACCCCAUUGAUUGCCAGGGUUGAUUUCAGCUGCUUUGGCUGGCUAGGCCAAGUUU